CAUAUGUCCUCUGUUCAAUAAAUGCUACAGCUUUCACAGCAGUUCCGCCUUGGCUCUUUUGUGAGUCGUUUACAUUUCGAUGAAUGAGGUAGAGUAUGUGUGUUAUUUAAAUGGACAGUAUAUAAAUGUUUUUGGUCCUGGGGCAUUAUGGUUUGCAUCAAAUGGAAUAAUCAUUGCAAAUGUUUGGCACAAUAAUUAGCACAUGCUUGGCAACAUCUCAAACAUGAAGUCAAAGAAGUUUUUCAGUAGUGUUUUGGGUUCUGUAUAAAUGACAUCCUGUGAUAUGUUUGGAUGAGGAUGAAUAGCUGUUUCGCUUCGUGCUGAAUAUGAGAAGAAAGUAAAUUUAAAGCAAGGAAGAUGCGGAGGAAGUAUUAGGAAGAAAUACGUAAAAUUUUUAUUUUUAGAAAUGAAAAGGGACCUGAGGAUGACCCAGACAGAUUCAGAAGUUGUGUCAUUAGGACACUAAGGGACCCAAAGUGUGUGGCGCACCUCCUGUGACAUUGGCUGGUGAUGGACAGUUGAGGAUUUCCUAGGUCCUCUAAUCCUGGCCUUUUGUCCGAUGUCAGAUCCUAGACAGUAAACUUAAAGGGAUUUGUGGCAUCCUCAAAAAAAGUCCCAGCUUUCUAGACUGGCCUUAAUUUCAGCUUAGAUUCGUGGUUUUCAAGACCUAGCCUUAGAAUGCUUUUGUUCACAAACUAAAGCUCCUGCCAGCCCCAGGGUUCUGCAGGGGCCAGCAUUUUGGUAAGAAAAUGUAAUCUUGGAGCUCCCAUUGUGGCUCAGUGGGUUAGGAAUCCAACUAGUGCUUGUGAGGAUGUGGGUUUGAUCCCUGACCUCACUCUGUGGGUUAAGGAUCUGGCACUGGGCAAGCUGUGGCAUAGUUUGCAGAUGCAGCUUGGAGCUGCAAUGCCGAGGCUGUGGUGUAGGCCUGCGGCUGCAGCUCUGAUUCAAUCCCUAGCCUGGGAACUUCCAUAUGCGGCAGGUGCAGCCUUUAGAAGUACAACAAAACCAAACAAAAAAAGGUCAUCUUUCAGCUCUAAAAUCUCAUGCCUCACAUCUUCUGUGAUCUCUCAGGCAUAUUUAGAAAAGUCCAUAAUGUUGGUUGGCAGCACUAAAAUGCAUUUUUUAAAAAGGGGAAAUUUGAGCAUGCAGCUGAGAUCCCAAGUAAGGAACGUUUGACAAAGAAGAGGAUGGUUUGUGUCAUUAAUAAAAAUCACUUCACCUAAGGCAGCCUUUAAAAUCUGUCAACCGAAUCUGGGAAAUGAAUACCUUUUAGUCUCAUUCCAGGCCAUAUGCUGCUCCACUGAGGAUUUUUUAAUUCAAAAGAGAAAUCUUGAACAAUUUUAAGUGAAAAACUCACUCCUUCCCCACGCUAGAGUUACUCUGAGGACAGAGUCUGUGCAUAUAAUUAUGGACACUUUCUGGGCAGCUUUCUCUACUUUAUUAUAUCCAUGUACCAUUAACAGGAUGUCUGCAGAAUCUCAUCUGUCUCUUGCUUGAAUACUAAGCCCCAAUCGUGAAUUAUAUAUGCAUUUAGUGUGUGUUCUUUUACAUCUGUUGGGCUCCAUCAAUUUAACUUCAGGUUCAUUUUGGAACUAAGUCAGUCUACCUAAUAGUGUGGGCAAAAAUAGCUGUUUUGAGUGAAGAAUAUACAUUUAUUGUUCCCCUAAAUCCUGACCUAUAAAUCAGAAGCCCUGAUCCAACCCAGUCUUGGUUUUCCUGGUGAGUAGCUGUCUAAACACUUCCUCUACCUCUUCACUGCUCUUAGGUCUGUAAAAGAGUCCAGUGGGGACAGUGUUACCUAAACCUGCCCUGUGAAAAGUUUGGAAAACUGAAGGUAUCUGGGAAUAAUGUCAUGUCCUCUACAAGAGAGUCACAGAGCAAUAUGGUCUGGUUUUCACUACAACCUCCUGGGGCUGUGAACGUAUCUGGUUCGCCCCCUCGCCGGAUGUUGCCUGCUUAGUGCUUCCGUAGUUCUGGUGUAUUUCCUGGCACAUUGUAGGUGCUCAAUAAUAUUGUCGAAUGAAUGAAGAACCAAGGGAACUUUCCCACAUGCCUGAGGAUGCUGAAUCCUGAAGUUGUAUCACUUUUUCUACCAGGGUAUUUCCUGGUCUCAGAGACCUUGCAGGAAUUCGAUGGCUUUUGGGUUUCAAAGAAUAUGCCUUUCACUCUCAGACUCGGGAAACCAAAUUUCUCUUUAUCACAAGUUCACCUUGGGGUGUGAUUUUGUUUUUAUUAAGUCCUCUGGUGUCUCUGUUUUCUUUUGUAUAAAACUCUAAAUGCAAAUAUUUGAUAAAAUAAAAAUUUACAUGCUCAUUUAGGUUUUCUUUUACAGAAAUGUGUUAAAUAUUGUAAUUUGAUGGCAUCUGAAAGCACUAAAAUGGCACACUGUUUGAAUUAUGAUUUUAUUUUGGUUGUAUUUUCCUAACUUGAAGGGUGAGAGGGAUAAUUAAUUGUUCUUGCAAUUAAAACUAAUAAAAGAUCAAUCUAUUCUUGCAAUUAAAGCUAAUCAAACUAUGAUGAGUGUACUUAUCAUAUGUAUGCUAGUGUAUAGUGCUAGCAGACAAAAUACAAAGAUAUUUUGAUAGCCCAUUCUACACAAACAGUAACUUCCUUCUUUAGUUGCAUUUUGGACACACCACCUUCUAGAUAUGUGUAAUAUAAAUAUAUGACCCAUGAUUUUGUCCCUGGAUAUAAUUAUUUCUUCCCUAAAGAUUACUUUUAUAGCAAAGGCAAAAGAGAAAAAAAAAAAAAAAAG
This 2755-nucleotide long non-coding RNA is filed under the name Sus scrofa (pig). Its description in RNAcentral is "lncRNA (ENSSSCG00060012813.1)". Lineage: Eukaryota; Metazoa; Chordata; Mammalia; Artiodactyla; Suidae. The record is from RNAcentral.